UUCAAGGGCUUCUGCCGUGCUUGGCAGAGGAGGGGUGGGGAUAACCACUCCUUAUGUGGAAUCGCUAUCAAGGGAUUUCGGAAGCACAAUUAUUAUAUUUUUUCACCUCCUAGGCCCUGCUGUGGUGCCC
This is a small nuclear RNA of Eleginops maclovinus (Patagonian blennie), 130 nucleotides long. RefSeq annotates it as U11 spliceosomal RNA. The transcript has a single exon. Lineage: Eukaryota; Metazoa; Chordata; Actinopteri; Perciformes; Eleginopidae. The record is from RefSeq and is a predicted model, not a curated record.